GGACCAUCCAGGCAGAAUGACAGGCAGAGUUGACCAAUGGGACCAUCCAGGCAGAAUGACAGGCAGAGUUGACCAAUGAGACCAUCCAGGCAGAAUGACAGGCAGAGUUGACCAAUGAGACCAUCCAGUCAGAAUGACAGGCAGAGUUGACCAAUGAGACCAUCCAGUCAGAAUGACUGGCAGAGUUGACCAAUGAGACCAUCCAGUCAGAAUGACAGGCAGAGUUGACCAAUGAGACCAUCCAGUUAGAAUGACAGGCAGAGUUGACCAAUGAGACCAUCCAGUCAGAAUGACAGGCAGAGUUGACCAAUGAGACCAUCCAGUCAGAAUGACAGGCAGAGUUGACCAAUGAGACCAUCCAGGCAGAAUGACAGGUAGAGUUGACCAAUGAGACCAUCCAGGCAGAAUGACAGGCAGAGUUGACCAAUGAGACCAUCCAGUCAGAAUGACAGGCAGAGUUGACCAAUGAGACCAUCCAGUCAGAAUGACAGGCAGAGUUGACCAAUGAGACCAUCCAGUCAGAAUGACAGGCAGAGUUGACCAAUGGGACCAUCCAGUCAGAAUGACAGGCAGAGUUGACCAAUGAGACCAUCCAGGCAGAAUGACAGGCAGAGUUGACCAAUGAGACCAUCCAGGCAGAAUGACAGGCAGAGUUGACCAAUGAGACCAUCCAGUCAGAAUGACAGGCAGAGUUGACCAAUGAGACCAUCCAGUCAGAAUGACAGGCAGAGUUGACCAAUGAGACCAUCCAGUCACAAUGACAGGCAGAGUUGACCAAUGAGACCAUCCAGUCAGAAUGACAGGCAGAGUUGACCAAUGAGACCAUCCAGGCAGAAUGACAGGUAGAGUUGACCAAUGAGACCAUCCAGUCAGAAUGACAGGCAGAGUUGACCAAUGAGACCAUCCAGUCAGAAUGACAGGCAGAGUUGACCAAUGAGACCAUCCAGGCAGAAUGACAGGCAGAGUUGACCAAUGAGACCAUCCAGUCAGAAUGACAGGCAGAGUUGACCAAUGAGACCAUCCAGUCAGAAUGACAGGCAGAGUUGACCAAUGAGACCAUCCAGGCAGAAUGACAGGCAGAGUUGACCAAUGAGACCAUCCAGUCAGAAUGACAGGCAGUUGACUGAUGGGACCAUCCAGUCAGAAUGACAGGCAGAGUUGACCAAUGAGACCAUCCAGUCAGAAUGACAGGCAGAGUUGACCAAUGAGACCAUCCAGUCAGAAUGACAGGCAGUUGACUGAUGGGACCAUCCAGGCAGAAUGACAGGCAGAGUUGACCAAUGAGACCAUCCAGUCAGAAUGACAGGCAGAGUUGACCAAUGAGACCAUCCAGUCAGAAUGACAGGCAGUUGACUGAUGGGACCAUCCAGGCAGAAGGUAGAGUUGACCAAUGAGACCAUCCAGUCAGAAUGACAGGCAGAGUUGACCAAUGAGACCAUCCAGUCAGAAUGACAGGCAGUUGACUGAUGGGACCAUCCAGGCAGAAUGACAGGUAGAGUUGACCAAUGAGACCAUCCAGUCAGAAUGACAGGCAGAGUUGACCAAUGAGACCAUCCAGUCAGAAUGACAGGCAGUUGACUGAUGGGAUCAUCCAGGCAGAAUGACAGGUAGAGUUGACCAAUGAGACCAUCCAGUCAGAAUGACAGGCAGAGUUGACCAAUGAGACCAUCCAGUCAGAAUGACAGGCAGUUGACUGAUGGGACCAUCCAGGCAGAAUGACAGGUAGAGUUGACCAAUGAGACCAUCCAGUCAAAAUGACAGGCAGUUGACUGAUGGGACCAUCCAGGCAGAAUGACAGGUAGAGUUGACCAAUGAGACCAUCCAGUCAGAAUGACAGGCAGAGUUGACCAAUGAGACCAUCCAGUCAGAAUGACAGGCAGUUGACUGAUGGGACCAUCCAGGCAGAAUGACAGGUAGAGUUGACCAAUGAGACCAUCCAGUCAGAAUGACAGGCAGAGUUGACCAAUGAGACCAUCCAGUCAGAAUGACAGGCAGAGUUGACCAAUGAGACCAUCCAGUCAGAAUGACAGGCAGUUGACUGAUGGGACCAGAAUGUCAGAAUGUAGCGUUGCCAUAUUAAAGCGAUGCCAGAGAUUCCUUCCCCCUAAAGUCUGUCCCAACCUUAAAAAGCUGACAGUUUUGCCAUUCUCUUUAUUUAUGUAUUUUUCUAAUGCUUUAUUUAUCUCUAUAUUUAUUUAUGUAUUUGGAAUAUUUAUUUCUAUGUUCAUUUAUUCAUGCUUUAUUUUUUAUUUUUCAAGAUCUCUGUACAUAGCUGAGCUGUGCAAUGUGAAUGCUGAAGUAAGCCCAUUUAAAUGUGCAGUACAUUUAGGCAAGUAGAUGGAUUCUCCAGCGUCCACCUCAGGGUGACAUUUGGUAAGGGCCUGGGUGUCCCACUUCUUCCUAAAGAGUCCUAAAGGGCACAUUCAGUUUAGUUGUGGCUCUUGGGGGAGAAAGGGAAGGAUUGAGAGCCAGGAUAGAAAUAAGAAUAUAUUCGUUUUUUCCUCCAUUUCUUCUUGGUAGAGGAAUCUCUCUUAGUUCAGACUCAGAUAGGAGGCCCAGGUGUUCUACAGGAGGCAUGUGUGCAAUACUGUGCUGGUGUGUCUGACUUGGUUUAACAUUGGAAACGGCCUGGUUGGGUAGUGUUACUAUAUGCCUACCACUGGACCGCUGUGUAUGUCUGUGUUUACAGAAGGAUCUGAUAAUUAUGCACAUUUUUUUUGCUUGUUACUGGAAAUAUUAAUUAAACAUUGGCCUUGCAGCUCAUAGUUAAUUCAAUAGGAGCAUUGACCGGUCAGCAAUGGACAAUUGAAUGUAUGUUGACUAGAAGGAAUAAAGAAAAGUGAAUUAA
Long non-coding RNA from Oncorhynchus gorbuscha (pink salmon), 2848 nucleotides. RefSeq lists it as uncharacterized. NCBI's taxonomy places the organism in Eukaryota, Metazoa, Chordata, Actinopteri, Salmoniformes, Salmonidae. The transcript has 2 exons. The record is from RefSeq and is a predicted model, not a curated record.